GAUGAACGCUGGCGGCGUGCCUAAUACAUGCAAGUCGAACGCAUUGAGAGAAGUGCUUGCACUUUUCAAUUUGAGUGGCGAACGGGUGAGUAACACGUGGGCAACCUACCUGAUAGCGGGGGAUAACGAGUGGAAACAUUCGCUAAUACCGCAUAACAAUAGAGAAGGCAUCUUCUUUAUUUAAAAGGCGCUUUCAAGCGUCACUAUCAGAUGGGCCCGCGGUGCAUUAGUUAGUUGGUGGGGUGAAGGCCUACCAAGACGAUGAUGCAUAGCCGAGUUGAGAGACUGAUCGGCCACAUUGGGACUGAGACACAGCCCAAACUCCUACGGGAGGCUGCAGUAGGGAAUCUUCCACAAUGGACGAAAGUCUGAUGGAGCAACGCCGCGUGUGUGAUGAAGGCUUUCGGGUCGUAAAGCACUGUUGUAUGGGAAGAAAUGCUAGGCUAGGAAAUGAGCUUAGUUUGACGGUACCAUACCAGAAAGGGACGGCUAAAUACGUGCCAGCCGCCGCAGUAA
Molecule: ribosomal RNA, 516 nt
Filed under: uncultured bacterium
Lineage: Bacteria
Description: partial 16S ribosomal RNA
Rfam family: Bacterial small subunit ribosomal RNA
Source: RNAcentral